Molecule: ribosomal RNA, 671 nt
Filed under: Candidiopotamon rathbuni
Lineage: Eukaryota; Metazoa; Arthropoda; Malacostraca; Decapoda; Potamidae
Description: partial 28S ribosomal RNA
Source: RNAcentral
GCCGCGACCCGUUGCUGGGGACGUCGAAGGCCCGGGCGGACUGGUACCCCGACGCCGUGCGUUAGCAAUAGCGUCGACGAAGGGGGAAACCUCCGGUGUCCUGGCUGCCCUGCGACGGUCGUGCAGAUGAGGGGCGAAUAAACGUCACUCUCGCGGCGUGCAAAAGGUCGGUGACCCACCCGACCCGUCUUGAAACACGGACCAAGGAGUCUAACAUGUGUGCGAGUCAUUGGGCUAACUAAACCCACAGGCGUAAUGAAAGUGAAAGGUGGGCGUCGUGUCACGGCGCUCACCGGGGCCGAUCCUCGACAUGCCGUCGCUUCGCCGGUGUCUCUUCCCAUACCAAAGCGGGGCCGCCAAGACGGGGCUGAUCAUGGCGCGGGGUGAGACCCUUUCCCUCGUCGCCCAGCCUCCGGUCCCGUGGGUACCCGGCGAGCGCGACAGUCCGGACGGUGGUCGGUUGGUAGCUUCGGCUGCCUCCGCCGCUGCCGCCUGUACGCAGGGGGGCGCAGGCCCGGGACUUGCCAUGUGACGCCGUCGUGCAAAUCUGUUGUUGGCCACGCCGGCUCUGCUUGGGCUCUCGGUUGGCGGGCCGCGCGUUCAGGCGGGCUUAGGGGCGGGGGCAGUCACUGCCGUCGCCCGGGUCCGCCCCGCGCGGUUUUAGCCUUCCG